RNAcentral lists this ribosomal RNA (434 nucleotides) under uncultured bacterium. Its description in RNAcentral is "partial 16S ribosomal RNA". It matches the Rfam family "Bacterial small subunit ribosomal RNA", at positions 29 to 508 of the family's 1533-position model. The record is from RNAcentral.
AACGAACGCUGGCGGCAUGCCUAACACAUGCAAGUCGAACGAGACCUUCGGGUCUAGUGGCGCACGGGUGCGUAACGCGUGGGAACCUGCCCUUAGGUUCGGAAUAACUCCCCGAAAGGGGUGCUAAUACCGGAUAAUAUCUUCGGACCAAAGAUUUAUCGCCUUUGGAUGGGCCCGCGUUGGAUUAGCUAGUUGGUAGGGUAAAAGCCUACCAAGGCGACGAUCCAUAGCUGGUCUGAGAGGAUGAUCAGCCACACUGGGACUGAGACACGGCCCAGACUCCUACGGGAGGCAGCAGUGGGGAAUAUUGGACAAUGGGCGAAAGCCUGAUCCAGCAAUGCCGCGUGAGUGAUGAAGGCCUUAGGGUUGUAAAGCUCUUUUACCCGGGAUGAUAAUGACAGUACCGGGAGAAUAAGCUCCGGCUAACUCCGUGC